Molecule: ribosomal RNA, 465 nt
Filed under: uncultured Chlamydiales bacterium
Lineage: Bacteria; Pseudomonadati; Chlamydiota; Chlamydiia; Chlamydiales
Description: bacterial SSU rRNA
Rfam family: Bacterial small subunit ribosomal RNA
Source: RNAcentral
CCUACGGGAGGCUGCAGUCGAGAAUCUUUCGCAAUGGGCGCAAGCCUGACGAAGCGACGCCGUGUGAGCGAAGAAGGCCUUCGGGUUGUAAAGCUCUUUCGCUAGGGAACAAGAAAGCUCGGAUAAUACCCGGGCGAUUUGAUGGUACUUGGUAAAGAAGCACCGGCUAACUCCGUGCCAGCAGCUGCGGUAAUACGGAGGGUGCAAGCAUUGAUCGGAAUUACUGGGCGUAAAGGGCGCGUAGGCGGCUAGAAAAGUCAGAUGUGAAAUUCCGGGGCUCAACCCCGGAGCUGCAUUUGAAACUCUCUAGCUAGAGGGAACUUAGGGAAAACGGAAUUCCACGUGUAGCGGUGAAAUGCGUAGAUAUGUGGAAGAACACCAGUGGUGAAGACGGUUUUCUGGAGUUUGCCUGACGCUGAGGCGCGAAAGCUAGGGGAGCAAACAGGAUUAGAUACCCUUGUAGUC